This 1479-nucleotide ribosomal RNA is filed under the name uncultured bacterium. Its description in RNAcentral is "16S ribosomal RNA". It matches the Rfam family "Bacterial small subunit ribosomal RNA". The record is from RNAcentral.
GAGUUUGAUCCUGGCUCAGAUUGAACGCUGGCGGCAGGCCUAACACAUGCAAGUCGAGCGGAUGAAGGGAGCUUGCUCCUGGAUUCAGCGGCGGACGGGUGAGUAAUGCCUAGGAAUCUGCCUGGUAGUGGGGGAUAACGUCCGGAAACGGGCGCUAAUACCGCAUACGUCCUGAGGGAGAAAGUGGGGGAUCUUCGGACCUCACGCUAUCAGAUGAGCCUAGGUCGGAUUAGCUAGUUGGUGGGGUAAAGGCCUACCAAGGCGACGAUCCGUAACUGGUCUGAGAGGAUGAUCAGUCACACUGGAACUGAGACACGGUCCAGACUCCUACGGGAGGCAGCAGUGGGGAAUAUUGGACAAUGGGCGAAAGCCUGAUCCAGCCAUGCCGCGUGUGUGAAGAAGGUCUUCGGAUUGUAAAGCACUUUAAGUUGGGAGGAAGGGCAGUAAGUUAAUACCUUGCUGUUUUGACGUUACCAACAGAAUAAGCACCGGCUAACUUCGUGCCAGCAGCCGCGGUAAUACGAAGGGUGCAAGCGUUAAUCGGAAUUACUGGGCGUAAAGCGCGCGUAGGUGGUUCAGCAAGUUGGAUGUGAAAUCCCCGGGCUCAACCUGGGAACUGCAUCCAAAACUACUGAGCUAGAGUACGGUAGAGGGUGGUGGAAUUUCCUGUGUAGCGGUGAAAUGCGUAGAUAUAGGAAGGAACACCAGUGGCGAAGGCGACCACCUGGACUGAUACUGACACUGAGGUGCGAAAGCGUGGGGAGCAAACAGGAUUAGAUACCCUGGUAGUCCACGCCGUAAACGAUGUCGACUAGCCGUUGGGAUCCUUGAGAUCUUAGUGGCGCAGCUAACGCGAUAAGUCGACCGCCUGGGGAGUCCGGCGCCAGGGUUAAAAUUCAAAGGAAUUGACGGGGGCCCCGCCCAAGCGGUGGACCAGGUGGUUUAUUUGGAAGCAACGGGAGGACCUUUCCCUGGCCCUGGCCAUGUUGAGAACUUUCCAGAGAGGGAUUGGUGCUUUGGGGAAUUCAGCCCCAGUUGCGCCAUGGCGGUGUUCAGCUGGGGUGGUGAGAUGUUGGGUUAAGUCCGGUAAGGAGCGCAACCCUUGCCUUUGGUUACCACCACUUGGGGUGGCCAUUUUAGGGGGACUCCGGGUGCCAACCCGGAGGAAGGGGGGGAGGAGGCCAGGUCUUCUUGGCCCUUCGGCCCAGGGCUCCCCACGUGUUCCAAUGGUGGGUCCAAAGGGUUGCCAAGCCGGGAGGGGGAGUUAUUCCCUUAAACCGGUUGGUAUUCGGGUUGCCAUUUGGCAAUUGGACUGGGGGAAUUGGGAAUCGUUGGUAUUCGUGAUUCAGAAGGUCUCGGGGAAUAGGUUCCCGGCCUUGGUCCACCCCGCCCGUCCCACCAUGGGAGUGGGUUGCUCCGGAGGUAGUUGGUCUACCCCCAGGGGGACGGUUACCACGGAGUGAUUCAUGACUGGGGUGA